AGCAGCCGCGGUAAUUCCAGCUCCAAUAGCGUAUAUUAAAGUUGUUGCAGUUAAAAAGCUCGUAGUUGAAUUUCGGGGUCAGUAGGUUGGUCAUGCCUUCGGUAUGUACUGGUCUCACUGAUUCCUCCUUCUUGAAGAUCCGUAAUGUCAUUAAUUUGGUGUUGCGGGGAAUCAGGACUGUUACUUUGAAAAAUUGAGUGUUUAAAGCAGGCUAACGCUUGAAUACAUUAGCAUGGAAUAAUGAAAUAGGACGUUUGAUCCUAUUUUGUUGGUUUCUAGGGUUGACGUAAUGAUUAAUAGGGAUAGUUGGGGGCAUUAGUAUUCAAUUGUCAGAGGUGAAAUUCUUGGAUUUAUUGAAGACUAACUACUGCGAAAGCAUUUGCCAAGGAUGUUUUCAUUAAUCAAGAACGAAAGUUAGGGGAUCGAAGACGAUCAGAUACCGUCGUAGUCUUAACCAUAAACUAUGCCGACUAGGGAUCGGAUGAUGUUAAUUUUUUAAUGACUCAUUCGGCGCCUUACG
Molecule: ribosomal RNA, 520 nt
Filed under: uncultured Glomeromycotina
Lineage: Eukaryota; Fungi; Glomeromycota
Description: SSU rRNA
Rfam family: Eukaryotic small subunit ribosomal RNA
Source: RNAcentral